This 1231-nucleotide long non-coding RNA is filed under the name Androctonus crassicauda. Lineage: Eukaryota; Metazoa; Arthropoda; Arachnida; Scorpiones; Buthidae. The record is from RNAcentral.
UAUAAACGUUUAAUUCAUGCACUGAAAGAACCAGUGCCAGUGACUGUCGUUCAUAAAAAGACCAACAUUAGUCCGUUUACCAAAAGUGACAUCAGUUUGCCUCCCUCUCUGAUGGAAGUUCCAACUAGCAACACUUUGGACGAUUUAAUUUUAUUAUCGGUUCCUCAACUUUAUCAAAAAUACGUUCCUCAUGUAAUUCAAAUGCUAAAAUCGCAUCGAUAUGACUGGAACGAUCAGGGACAAUUAAUUAUUAACAAGUACAGAUUAAGAAUACGUAGAUGGGGAACUCCCUAUACUUACAAUGUUCUAAAAAUUGUAUUGAUUAGCCAAUCAGCGUUCGGCACUGAUACCCAAUGAGGAAAAUUCGAACUAAAAAUGACGUCAUAUAUCACCUCCUAAACAUGCCUUCAUCACGUGAUCAGUGACGUAUAUAUGACGUAGUUUGUAAUGCGCGACAGUCCUGUUGUACUUAGGAGACCUUUCUUUUUUAAAUUUCAUUCGAAAAUUAUUUUACUUCAUUUCUUAAAUUUAAAACUUCAUAUAGCAUUUUUCCUUUAAAAAAUUAAAAUGUCUAUAUAACAAAAAUACAAAUUUGUUCCGAUAGUGAAUAAAUGAAUUGCAUGUUUUUACGACAAGAAAUGACAACUAUAAAUACAGAAUAUACUACAAUUUACAAUAUAAGUUAUUCCUCUUAUACAUAUAAUCAAAGAAUUAAUCAUACGAAGUAAUUUAAAACAAACUAAAUUACAUAAGAUAAUACAUAUGAAAAAUACGCAAGGGAAAAUAACCAUUGGCCACACUGCCAUUUUUCAGGUUUUCCCAAAAAGAGAACAUAUAAUGAAAUACAAAUAUUAAAGUACAUACAGAAUAAAACGCAAAAAGAAAAAAUUAUAAAGUAAAAUUCAGGAAGUUACAAAGAAAGUAAAUCACAUAAUAAAACAAAAACAAUCUAAUUAAUUACCAAUAUUAAUAACAUAUAGAUUAAACAAAACGAGAUUCCUGUUUGUAGAUAGUCUUUAAUAACCGAUUUAAUUUAAUGCAUGAAGGAAUUAUUUUUAUUUCUAAUUUUAACGAAUUCCAUAAAUUUAUUGAUAUAUAAAUUAUAGAUUUCUGAACAGUACCUAGAUUACAUUUGGGAACAUUUUUGUUAUAACUAUACCUAGUAGAUAAAAUAUUUUUGUUAUGAAAUUGAUAAAGAGAAUAAAAAACUUCUAAUUUCUGUGCAGUAUAG